CAGAGCCCGGUAAUUGCGAGAGGCCUAAGCCCUUUUUCUCAGAGGUUCAAACCCUCUCCUUAGCU
This 65-nucleotide transfer RNA is filed under the name Salvelinus alpinus (Arctic char). Its description in RNAcentral is "tRNA-Leu". The record is from RNAcentral. Lineage: Eukaryota; Metazoa; Chordata; Actinopteri; Salmoniformes; Salmonidae. RNAcentral also lists the same sequence under 1 other name.